Molecule: transfer RNA, 77 nt
Filed under: Mus musculus (house mouse)
Lineage: Eukaryota; Metazoa; Chordata; Mammalia; Rodentia; Muridae
Description: tRNA-Ser
Source: RNAcentral
GUUGGUGAGAUGGCUCAGUGGGUAAGAGCACCCGACUGCUCUUCUGAAGGUCCAGAGUUCAAAUCCCAGCAACUACA